This 490-nucleotide ribosomal RNA is filed under the name uncultured bacterium. RNAcentral's name for it is "partial 16S ribosomal RNA". It matches the Rfam family "Bacterial small subunit ribosomal RNA", at positions 30 to 507 of the family's 1533-position model. The record is from RNAcentral.
AUUGAACGCUGGCGGCAGGCCUAACACAUGCAAGUCGAACGGUAACAGGAAGCAGCUUGCUGCUUCGCUGACGAGUGGCGGACGGGUGAGUAAUGUCUGGGAAACUGCCUGAUGGAGGGGGAUAACUACUGGAAACGGUAGCUAAUACCGCAUAACGUCGCAAGACCAAAGAGGGGGACCUUAGGGCCUCUUGCCAUCGGAUGUGCCCAGAUGGGAUUAGCUAGUAGGUGGGGUAACGGCUCACCUAGGCGACGAUCCCUAGCUGGUCUGAGAGGAUGACCAGCCACACUGGAACUGAGACACGGUCCAGACUCCUACGGGAGGCAGCAGUGGGGAACAUUGCACAAUGGGCGCAAGCCUGAUGCAGCCAUGCCGCGUGUAUGAAGAAGGCCUUCGGGUUGUAAAGUACUUUCAGCGGGGAGGAAGGGAGUAAAGUUAAUACCUUUGCUCAUUGACGUUACCCGCAGAAGAAGCACCGGCUAACUCCGUG